GUUGACCUCGAAUCAGGUAGGAAUA
This 25-nucleotide ribosomal RNA is filed under the name Parasarcopodium ceratocaryi. RNAcentral describes it as "partial 28S ribosomal RNA". The record is from RNAcentral. Lineage: Eukaryota; Fungi; Ascomycota; Sordariomycetes; Hypocreales; Stachybotryaceae.